UAAAGGUAUUUUUACCUAUAAUUUUUAUUUUAAUUUAUUUUUCAUGUAAAAUUUAUUAUGAAAAAUUUAAUUUUUAGAAAAAGAAUUACGUUGAUUUGCAGUAGUAAGAUUUGUUAAUUUAAGAAAUUAAGAUACAGUAAAUUUUAUAGUUUAAACAAAAUUUGUGCCAGCAGUUGCGGUUACACAAAUUAGGCAAUAAAAAUUUUUUAGUGAUAGUUAAUUGUAAAUUAAAAAUUUAUAGGAAGGCUUUUUAGGUGAAAUUUUAGGUCGUUAUAAAUUUGGGUUUGGUUAAUGAAACUAGGAAAAUUUCUUUGAAAACUAGGAUUAGAUACCCUAUUAUUGAAAAAGUGAGUUUUUAAACUGGGUUAUUAGUAGAUAUAUUCUUUAAAACUAGAAAAAAUGGCGGUAUUUUAGUCUAUUUAGAGGAACCUGUUCUGUAAACGAUGAUCCACGAUUUGAUUUAUUUUUUUUUUGAGUUUCCAUAUCGUUGUAGUUUGAGUAUUUUUGAAGAAUAAAUAUUCAUAAUUCUAAGGAGAAAGAUAUCAAAUCAAGAUGUAGCUUAUAAGAAAGUAGAAAUGGGUUACAAUAAAUUUAUUUAUAUGGAUAAAUUUUUUUAAAAAAAUUUUGAAGGUGGAUUUAAUAGUAAUUUUUUAUAAAUUUUAAAAAUGAUUUUAGCUCUAGAAUAUGUACAUAUCGCCCGUCGCUUUCGUUUUUAAAAUGAAAUAAGUCGUAACAAAGUAGAGGUACCGGAAGGUGUCUCUAGAAGUCA
Molecule: non-coding RNA, 769 nt
Filed under: Anthonomus rubi (strawberry blossom weevil)
Lineage: Eukaryota; Metazoa; Arthropoda; Insecta; Coleoptera; Curculionidae
Source: RNAcentral